ACGGCCACAUACCGUUGAAACAGCAAUUCCCAUACGAGCACCGAAGUUAAGUAACGUCGAGCCUGGUCAGUACCUAGAUGGGUGACCACUUUGAAAUACAAGGUGGUGUAA
Non-coding RNA from Acanthosepion pharaonis, 111 nucleotides. The record is from the annotation of a GenBank genome assembly. NCBI's taxonomy places the organism in Eukaryota, Metazoa, Mollusca, Cephalopoda, Sepiida, Sepiidae.